RNAcentral lists this long non-coding RNA (601 nucleotides) under Homo sapiens (human). RNAcentral's name for it is "HSALNT0351767". The record is from RNAcentral. Lineage: Eukaryota; Metazoa; Chordata; Mammalia; Primates; Hominidae.
CGCGCCGCCGCCGCCGCCCACGCCUCAACUCGGCAGCUCAGCCAGCGCUGCAUGCUGUCCGCCCUCAGCCCAGCAAGCCGGCCCUCGAGCUCCGCUGGGCAGCGCAGGGCCGGCAGUAUAGAGUCCGCCGGCCCCGGACGGCCCCGGGUUAAUCCAGUGCAGAAACAGCUUCAUCUUGUUAUCCAAGCCAACUUCUGGAGCUUCUGGAAGGAUGAUGCUCUUCCAAGCUGAGAAAUGAUCACAGACCAGACUAGCAGCUGGGAGACUGCAAAGAAGAAGAGAUUACCUUUUCAUGAGAAACAGCAGCUUCCACAACUUCUCGGCUUCUUCCUGUGAAGUUCUCCUAGCUGAAGAAACAGAAGAUAGAAGGAUCAUCACAUGCCCAUUUUAUGGAGAACAAGACUGAGAGUUGAAGAGACUUCCACAGGUGGCAAGGGGAGGUCUGAGAAGAUGAUAUUGGAGCAAAGACCAGUAGGAGAUAAGGGAGCAACUCAUGCAUGUCUCUGGGAAAAGGGAACAGGAAACAUCUAUAGGGAGAAGACAGGUAAAGAUCCAAUAAGACAGUCCCUCAAGCCAGUACACAAGGGGUUGAGGACUUCAG